RNAcentral lists this ribosomal RNA (429 nucleotides) under Gemmatimonadota bacterium. Its description in RNAcentral is "Gemmatimonadetes bacterium partial 16S ribosomal RNA". It matches the Rfam family "Bacterial small subunit ribosomal RNA", at positions 355 to 776 of the family's 1533-position model. The record is from RNAcentral. Lineage: Bacteria; Pseudomonadati; Gemmatimonadota.
UAGGGAAUCUUCGGCAAUGGACGAAAGUCUGACCGAGCAACGCCGCGUGAGUGAAGAAGGUUUUCGGAUCGUAAAACUCUGUUGUUAGAGAAGAACAAGGACGUUAGUAACUGAACGUCCCCUGACGGUAUCUAACCAGAAAGCCACGGCUAACUACGUGCCAGCAGCCGCGGUAAUACGUAGGUGGCAAGCGUUGUCCGGAUUUAUUGGGCGUAAAGCGAGCGCAGGCGGUUUCUUAAGUCUGAUGUGAAAGCCCCCGGCUCAACCGGGGAGGGUCAUUGGAAACUGGGAGACUUGAGUGCAGAAGAGGAGAGUGGAAUUCCAUGUGUAGCGGUGACAUGCUUAGAUAUAUGGAGAAACACCAGUGGCGAAGGCGGCUCUCUGGUCUGUAACUGACGCUGAGGCUCGAAAGCGUGGGGAGCAAACAGG